UACGGGAGGCAGCAGUGGGGAAUAUUGCACAAUGGGCGCAAGCCUGAUGCAGCCAUGCCGCGUGUAUGAAGAAAGCCUUCGGGUUGUAAAGUACUUUCAGUCGUGAGGAAGGUGUUAAGGUUAAUAACCUUAGCAAUUGACGUUAGCGACAGAAGAAGCACCGGCUAACUCCGUGCCAGCAGCCGCGGUAAUACGGAGGGUGCGAGCGUUAAUCGGAAUUACUGGGCGUAAAGGGCACGCAGGCGGUUAAUUAAGUUGGAUGUGAAAUCCCCGGGCUUAACCUGGGAAUGGCAUUCAAGACUGGUUAGCUAGAGUCUUGUAGAGGGGGUAGAAUUCCAUGUGUAGCGGUGAAAUGCGUAGAGAUGUGGAGGAAUACCGGUGGCGAAGGCGGCCCCUGGGACAAAGACUGACGCUCAUGUGCGAAAGCGUGGGGAGCAAACAGGAUUAGAUACC
Molecule: ribosomal RNA, 453 nt
Filed under: uncultured bacterium
Lineage: Bacteria
Description: bacterial SSU rRNA
Rfam family: Bacterial small subunit ribosomal RNA
Source: RNAcentral